This 372-nucleotide ribosomal RNA is filed under the name uncultured organism. Its description in RNAcentral is "bacterial SSU rRNA". It matches the Rfam family "Bacterial small subunit ribosomal RNA", at positions 526 to 896 of the family's 1533-position model. The record is from RNAcentral.
CAGAGGGGGCAAGCGUUGUUCGGAAUUACUGGGCGUAAAGGGCGCGUAGGCGGCCUUCUAAGUCGAACGUGAAAUCCCCGGGCUCAACCCGGGAACUGCGUCCGAUACUGGAAGGCUCGAAUCCGGGAGAGGGAUGUGGAAUUCCAGGUGUAGCGGUGAAAUGCGUAGAUAUCUGGAGGGACACCGGUGGCGAAGGCGACAUCCUGGACCGGUAUUGACGCUGAGGCGCGAAAGCCAGGGGAGCAAACGGGAUUAGAUACCCCGGUAGUCCUGGCCCUAAACGAUGAAUGCUUGGUGUGGCGGGUAUCGAUCCCUGCCGUGCCGAAGCUAACGCAUUAAGCAUUCCGCCUGGGGAGUACGGUCGCAAGGCUG